Molecule: unclassified non-coding RNA, 332 nt
Filed under: soil metagenome
Description: partial contains 5.8S ribosomal RNA, internal transcribed spacer 2, and large subunit ribosomal RNA
Rfam family: 5.8S ribosomal RNA (bases 1-120)
Source: RNAcentral
GAUGAAGAACGUAGCGAAAUGCGAUAAGUAGUGUGAAUUGCAGAAUUCAGUGAAUCAUCGAAUCUUUGAACGCACAUUGCGCCCUUUGGCAUUCCUUAGGGCAUGCCUGUUCGAGCGUCAUUUAAACCUUCAAGCUAAGCUUGGUGUUGGGUGACUGUCCGCCUCACGGCGGACUCGCCUCAAAAUUAUUGGCGGCCGGUACAUUGGCUUCGAGCGCAGCAGAAACGCGAACUCGGGCCCGUCGUAUUGGCUCCCAGAAGCUAUCUUCACAAUUUUGACCUCGGAUCAGGUAGGGAUACCCGCUGAACUUAAGCAUAUCAAUAAGCGGAGGA